RNAcentral lists this signal recognition particle RNA (298 nucleotides) under Jaculus jaculus (lesser Egyptian jerboa). RNAcentral's name for it is "Metazoan signal recognition particle RNA (ENSJJAG00000006093.1)". It matches the Rfam family "Metazoan signal recognition particle RNA". Rfam says of the family: The signal recognition particle (SRP) is a universally conserved ribonucleoprotein. It is involved in the co-translational targeting of proteins to membranes. The record is from RNAcentral. Lineage: Eukaryota; Metazoa; Chordata; Mammalia; Rodentia; Dipodidae.
CAUGAGCACUUUGGAAUGUGCCUCCGGUCCCAGCUACUCGGGACGCUGAGGCGGGAGGAUGGCUUGAGUCCAGGAGUUCUGGGCUGCAGUGAGCUAUGCCUAUAGGGUGUCCGCACUAAGUUCGUCAUCAAUAUGGUGACCUCCUGGGAGCGGGAGACCACCAGGUUGCCUAAGGAGGGGUGAACCAGCCCAGGUCAGAGACGAAGCAGGUCAAAACUCCUGUGCUGAGCAGUAGUGGGAUCGCACCCGUGAAUAGCCGCUGCACUCCAGCCUGGGUAACAAGUGAGGCCCUACCUUA